This 192-nucleotide ribosomal RNA is filed under the name Triticum aestivum (bread wheat). RNAcentral describes it as "partial small subunit ribosomal RNA". Lineage: Eukaryota; Viridiplantae; Streptophyta; Magnoliopsida; Poales; Poaceae. The record is from RNAcentral.
AUGCACAUCGGCGGGUCAAUCUUCAAGAUGGACAAUACCGAAGAAGGGACACUCCAAAUACCAUCACCACAUAUCAAACCAGAAGCAACCGCACCUGCGAAGUCCUCGGACUCCUUACGGUUCACCCUCUCCCAAACAAACAAGAUGACAGUGCCAACAAACAUGUCAAUCGCAAAGUAUGCCCCAAUGUAA